GGGGAAUUUUGGACAAUGGGCGCAAGCCUGAUCCAGCCAUGCCGCGUGUCUGAAGAAGGCCUUCGGGUUGUAAAGGACUUUUGUCAGGGAAGAAAAGGCUGUUGCUAAUACCGACAGCUGAUGACGGUACCUGAAGAAUAAGCACCGGCUAACUACGUGCCAGCAGCCGCGGUAAUACGUAGGGUGCGAGCGUUAAUCGGAAUUACUGGGCGUAAAGCGAGCGCAGACGGUUACUUAAGCAGGAUGUGAAAUCCCCGGGCUCAACCUGGGAACUGCGUUCUGAACUGGGUGACUAGAGUGUGUCAGAGGGAGGUAGAAUUCCACGUGUAGCAGUGAAAUGCGUAGAGAUGUGGAGGAAUACCGAUGGCGAAGGCAGCCUCCUGGGAUAACACUGACGUUCAUGCUCGAAAGCGUGGGUAGCAAACAGGAUUAGAUACCCUGGUAGUCCGCGCCCUAAACGAUGUCAAUUAGCUGUUGGGCAACUUGAUUGCUUAGUAGCGUAGCUAACGCGUGAAAUUGACCGCCUGGGGAGUACGGUCGCAAGAUUA
This 548-nucleotide ribosomal RNA is filed under the name uncultured bacterium. Its description in RNAcentral is "bacterial SSU rRNA". It matches the Rfam family "Bacterial small subunit ribosomal RNA", at positions 356 to 896 of the family's 1533-position model. The record is from RNAcentral.